AAUCAACGCUGGCGGCGUGCCUAACACAUGCAAGUCGAGCGCGAAAGGGGAGUAAUCCCCAAGUAGAGCGGCGAACGGGUGAGUAACGCGUGGGUGAUCUACCUCCGAGUGGGGAAUAACCCCGGGAAACUGGGGCUAAUACCGCAUGACAUCCCUGAGUCACAUCGGGGAUCAAAGCCGGGGACCGCAAGGCCUGGCGUUUGGAGAUGAGCCCGCGUCCGAUUAGCUAGUUGGCGGGGAACGGCCCACCAAGGCUUCGAUCGGUAGCCGGCCUGAGAGGGCGGACGGCCACACUGGGACUGAGACACGGCCCAGACUCCUACGGGAGGCAGCAGUGGGGAAUUUUUCGCAAUGGGGGAAACCCUGACGAAGCAACGCCGCGUGGAGGAUGAAGGCCUUCGGU
Molecule: ribosomal RNA, 403 nt
Filed under: uncultured bacterium
Lineage: Bacteria
Description: bacterial SSU rRNA
Rfam family: Bacterial small subunit ribosomal RNA
Source: RNAcentral